UUUUUUUUUUUUUGGCUGCACCAGCGACAUGCAAAAUUCCCAGUCCAGGGAAUGAACUUGUGUCACUGCAGGAAUGAGCGCUGCAGCAGUGACAAUGCCAGGUCCUUAGCGCACGGAGCCACCAGGGGAACUCUGACAGGAAUUCUUUAUUCUACAUUUGCAACUCUUCUGAAAGUCCAAAACUGUCUCCAAGAAGGUUUUUAAAGUAUUUACAGGAGUUCCCACUGUGGCUCAGUGGAAAUGAAUCCGACUGGUAUUCAUGAGGAUGUGGGUUCGAUCCCUGGCCUUGCUCAAUGGGUUAAGGAUCCGGCGUUCCAUGAGCUGGGGUGUAGGUCACAGAUCUGCGGCAACACCAAAUCCCUAACCCACUGAGGGAGGCCAGGGACUGAAACGCAUCUUCAUGGAGACUAGUCAGGUUCUUAACCCGCUGAGCCACAAUGGGAACUCCUCUAUCAAAUAUUUUAAGUCGAUCCCCUUUGAGAAGAUCAAACGUGGCCGGGAAGACGCUGUUGCCAUUUCCGAUCAUUUGAAAUGUACAGCCAACACACAAAGGUGACCCUGUUCUUUUGACUUUUGAAGGUAACUGUCAUGCAUCUUUGAUUUUGUGUUUGGUGCCCUUCAAAAGAUGUCCACAGAUGCCCAGGAAUGGACACGUUCCUGGUUAUUUUUGGCUUUUAUGCCCUACACCCCCUAACCUCUCGCCCUCCCCAUACAAGGUCCCUUUGCUCUGGAUUUAACUCCCGCAGGAACGGAAGUCAGCAUCUUAGCCCGGAUGUGUCCUCAGCUGCUCCCCAAAGGCUUUGGAGAGAGCGCCAGGCUUCACUGAUGCUUUGGGGGGGCAGAGGGGUUUCACAUCUCAGACACGCCCUCGCUCUGAGGUGACCAUGCCUACUCUGGCUCUUGAAAGAACGUCUUGCAGCUGCUCCUGGAGGGUCUCCACACCCUACUCCACAGCUUCUAGCUUCCCUCGCCCCUGUCUCCCAACCUCCUCCCCUCUUCUCUGCUCUGCUCGGCUGCCUGGGUACAUCCUACUCAUGGACAUUCUGUUUUCUCCUCUGUCCACAGGGAUGGGUGUUCAUGCAGAAAACAGAAGUCCUGACUCAGACUGGAUCACACAGAAAUAAAACGUGGUGACUCCCACCACCACCGGAAACCCCCAGGUGGGUGCUGCAGUGUCUCCCAACUCUGUGGAUGUUGCUUAAUUUCUCUGAUUCUCUUCCCUCUGCUCUCCCCUCCCCUGCACUGGCUUCCUCUCCAGCAGGCAGCAAAGGGGCUGCAGCAUGUGGGUGACGGACCACCUCCACUGAAAUGCAAGGGAAGGACUUCCUGCAGCCCUCCCAGAAAAAGAAAACUUUUACCAGCAGCUUUUAGAAAGAGACACGUACGUAUCAUCAGUGCGUGUUGUUAUUUUCCUAUUCUUUUUUGUUGCUGUUUUUUGUUUGGGGGGUUUUUUGGCUGCCAAUGGCAUGCAGAAGUUUCCCAGGCCAGGGAAAAAGCUUGUACUACAGCAAUGACAAUGCCAGAUCCUUCACCCGCUAGGCCACCAGGGAACUCCGCGCUUUCCUAUUCUGAAACCAAUCUCUGUGGGCCAGGAGAGUCCCAAAGCUUGAGAUGGCUGAGGUCCGGGUACCCAGGGACUGUGACACGUGUGAGUUAGAACAGGAGGUGGAGAAUCGAGACCCACAGACCAACCCCACCCCACUGCCUAGUUUGGCAAAGAAACUUGGUGAACACACAUUUUUUUUGGAAUAUAGCCAAACCCACAUGGCUCUCGCUUGCCAAGGACCAGCUUUGUACCACUGCAGAGUUAGUAGCGGCAAGAGAGACCAUAUGCCCCAGAGAGCCAAAAUCCUGGCUCUUUACAGGUCAAGUUUGCUGACCACUGGCUGAGACAGCCCUGGACUCAUCUCAGUGCUCCCCCACCAUCUGCCUGCUCUAUGGAUGUGACAGAGACACGACAGUCCCUGCCACCGUCCAAUCCCUAGGCUAAGCAACAUCACCAAGCAACGAGGCACUCUGUUAUGGCAGCCCUUCUCUUUUCCAUGGCUCAGAUUCACUUUCUUUUAUAAAAUCAUCACGUAGUAAGUCACUCUCGUUGCCUUACUGUCUUUCUCUGCAAAAUUAAAAGUGUGCAAGCCUCAGAGAGCCUCUCUAAUUUUCCUUUAUUAAAUUUCAGGAGGAAGUGAAAUCCUAAACUGUAAAGUUCCUCUCUCCCGGUGUGUCCCUGAUUUCUCACAGGAGCCCUGGACGUGAGUCCUCCCAAACCCCAGCAGCUUCUGCACUAAAAGCCAAAGGGGUUUCGUGCCAGCAAACGAGGUGGGUACGUUCUCACGAAUUUUCUGAUAAACACAGUCUCAGAAAGGCUGAACGAAAGGCAGCGUCCAUAGUCUGCAAAGUUCGAUCCUUCUCCAAGAAGGCUGUUAUGUCAUCAAUUCUCAUUGGUUAUGUUCCGUUCAUGAAAAUAAACAAUAAGCAACUUUAAGAACCGAUACAGUAACUGCUACUCUGAUCAGCAGGGACGGUCAAAAGGCUACAUACACACAAAAAAAAGGUGAUACUGACACUCUCACCGCCCUUAGUUUCAAAAGCAGUUCUAGAAUUUACCAUGUCAUCGACAUGACCCCUAAUUAUAUGAAAUGGAAAUAAUCUCCACCUAAGAAUCUAAUGGUAAAAUGACCGAUGAAAGAAGCAGCUACUCGCCAACAUGAGGUCAUCCUGGAAGCACACAAACCUUUUUUUUUUUUUUUUCUUCUUUGUAAAUA
This 2762-nucleotide long non-coding RNA is filed under the name Sus scrofa (pig). Its description in RNAcentral is "lncRNA (ENSSSCG00005034712.1)". The record is from RNAcentral. Lineage: Eukaryota; Metazoa; Chordata; Mammalia; Artiodactyla; Suidae.